RNAcentral lists this ribosomal RNA (468 nucleotides) under uncultured bacterium. RNAcentral's name for it is "partial 16S ribosomal RNA". It matches the Rfam family "Bacterial small subunit ribosomal RNA", at positions 28 to 507 of the family's 1533-position model. The record is from RNAcentral.
GACGAACGCUGGCGGCGUGCUUAACACAUGCCAGUCGAACGGAAAGGCCCUGCUUUUGUGGGGUGCUCGAGUGGCGAACGUGUGAGUAACACGUGAGUAACCCGCCCUUUACUUUGGGAUAACUUCAGGAAACUGUGGCUAAUACCGGCUAGGAGCUCCUGCUGCCUGGUGGGGGUAGGAAAGUUUCGGCGGGUGGGGCUGGACGCGCGGCUUAUCAGCUUGUUGGUGGGGGAGUGGCUUACCAAGGCUUUGACGGGUAGCCGGCCUGAGGGGGGGACCGGCCACAUGGGGACUGAGGGAGGGCCCAGAGUGCUACGGGGGGCAGCAGUGGGGAAUAUUGCACAAUGGGCGGAAGCCUGAUGCAGCAACGCCGCGUGCGGAAUGACGGCCUUCGGGUGGUAAACCGCUUUCGCCUAUGACGAAGCGUGAGUGACGGUAACGGGUAAAGAAGCACCGGCUAACUACGUG